AGAGUUUGAUCUUGGCUCAGGAUGAACGCUGGCGGCGUGCUUAACACAUGCAAGUCGAACGCUGAAGCUCCCAGCUUGCUGGGGGUGGAUGAGUGGCGAACGGGUGAGUAUCACGUGAGUAACCUGCCCUGAACUCUGGGAUAAGCCUGGGAAACUGGGUCUAAUACUGGAUAGGACUGGCCAUCGCAUGGUGGUUGGUUGAAAGCUUUUGCGGUUUUGGAUGGACUCGCGGCCUAUCAGCUUGUUGGUGGGGUAAUGGCCUACCAAGGCUUUGACGGGUAGCCGGCCUGAGAGACUGAUCGGCCACAAUGGGACUGAGACACGGCCCAUACUCCUACGGGAGGCAGCAGUAGGGAAUCUUCCACAAUGGGCGCAAGCCUGAUGGAGCAACGCCGCGUGAAUGAAGAAGGUCUUCGGAUCGUAAAAUUCUGUUGUUAGAGAAGAAUAUGAGUAAUAGUAACUGAUUAUUCACUGACGGUAUCUAACCAGCAAGUCACGGCUAACUACGUGCCAGCAGCCGCGGUAAUACGUAGGUGGCAAGCGUUGUCCGGAUUUAUUGGGCGUAAAGGGAACGCAGGCGGUUUUUUAAGUCUGAUGUGAAAGCCUUCGGCUUAACCGGAGAUGUGCAUUGGAAACUGGAAGACUUGAGUGCAGAAGAGGAGAGUGGAACUCCAUGUGUAGCGGUGAAAUGCGUAGAUAUAUGGAAGAACACCAGUGGCGAAAGCGGCUCUCUGGUCUGUAACUGACGCUGAGGUUCGAAAGCAUGGGUAGCGAACAGGAUUAGAUACCCUGGUAGUCC
This 799-nucleotide ribosomal RNA is filed under the name uncultured bacterium. RNAcentral describes it as "bacterial SSU rRNA". It matches the Rfam family "Bacterial small subunit ribosomal RNA", at positions 8 to 796 of the family's 1533-position model. The record is from RNAcentral.